GUAGGUGGCAAGCGUUAUCCGGAAUUAUUGGGCGUAAAGCGCGCGCAGGCGGUUUCUUAAGUCUGAUGUGAAAGCCCACGGCUCAACCGUGGAGGGUCAUUGGAAACUGGGGAACUUGAGUGCAGAAGAGAAAAGCGGAAUUCCACGUGUAGCGGUGGAAUGCGUAGAGAUGUGGAGGAACACCAGUGGCGAAGGCGGCUUUUUGGUCUGUAACUGACGCUGAGGCGCGAAAGCGUGGGGAGCAAACAGGGAUUAGAUACCCUGGUAGUCCACGCCGUAAACGAUGAGUGCUAAGUGUUAGAGGGUUUCCGCCCCUUUAGUGCUGCAGCUAACGCAUUAAGCACUCCGCCUGGGGAUACGGUCGCAAGACUG
Molecule: ribosomal RNA, 372 nt
Filed under: uncultured organism
Description: partial 16S ribosomal RNA
Rfam family: Bacterial small subunit ribosomal RNA
Source: RNAcentral